UACGGAGGGUGCGAGCGUUGUCCGGAAUCAUUGGGCGUAAAGGGCGCGUAGGUGGCCCGGUCAGUCCGUGGUGAAAGCGCGGGGCUCAACCCCGCGUCGGCCAUGGAUACUGCUGGGCUGGAGCACUGUAGAGGCAGGCGGAAUUCCGGGUGUAGCGGUGGAAUGCGUAGAGAUCAUGAGGAAGACCAGUGGCGAAGGCGGGUCUCUGGACAGUUCCUGACACUGAGGCACGAAGGCCAGGGGAGCAAACGGG
Molecule: ribosomal RNA, 253 nt
Filed under: uncultured bacterium
Lineage: Bacteria
Description: partial 16S ribosomal RNA
Rfam family: Bacterial small subunit ribosomal RNA
Source: RNAcentral